GCACCGGUAGCUCAAUUGGAUAGAGUACCUGGCUACGGACCAGGAGGUUAGAGGUUCGAGCCCUCUCCGGUGCA
This 74-nucleotide transfer RNA is filed under the name Candidatus Neptunichlamydia sp. Its description in RNAcentral is "tRNA-Arg". It matches the Rfam family "tRNA". From Rfam's summary of the family: Transfer RNA (tRNA) molecules are approximately 80 nucleotides in length. Their secondary structure includes four short double-helical elements and three loops (D, anti-codon, and T loops). The record is from RNAcentral. Lineage: Bacteria; Pseudomonadati; Chlamydiota; Chlamydiia; Parachlamydiales; Simkaniaceae.